Non-coding RNA from Bombyx mori (domestic silkworm), 83 nucleotides. The record is from Rfam. NCBI's taxonomy places the organism in Eukaryota, Metazoa, Arthropoda, Insecta, Lepidoptera, Bombycidae.
UUAACUCAAAUUUGUAUGGAGUUAGUACGUGUGCCUACGUUUGCCACUAGGGGCGCUGUCCAACUCUAUACAAAUUUGAGUUA